GAGUUUGAACCUGGCUCAGGAUGAACGCUGGCGGCGUGCCUAACACAUGCAAGUCGAACGAAGCGCUAUUUCGGAAGCUUUUCGGAGUGAAAGAGAAAGUGACUGAGUGGCGGACGGGUGAGUAACGCGUGGGCAACCUACCCCACACAGGGGGACAACAGCUGGAAACGGCUGCUAAUACCGCAUAGGCGCACAGCUUCGCAUGAAGGAGUGUGGAAAGCAAUGGCGGUGUGGGAUGGGCCCGCGUCUGAUUAGCUGGUUGGUGAGGCAGAGGCUCACCAAGGCGACGAUCAGUAGCCGGCCUGAGAGGGCGGACGGCCACAUUGGGACUGAGACACGGCCCAGACUCCUACGGGAGGCAGCAGUGGGGGAUAUUGCACAAUGGGGGGAACCCUGAUGCAGCGACGCCGCGUGAGCGAAGAAGUAUUUCGGUAUGUAAAGCUCUAUCAGCAGGGAAGAAAAUGACGGUACCUGAGUAAGAAGCCCCGGCUAAAUA
This 496-nucleotide ribosomal RNA is filed under the name uncultured bacterium. RNAcentral's name for it is "bacterial SSU rRNA". It matches the Rfam family "Bacterial small subunit ribosomal RNA", at positions 9 to 503 of the family's 1533-position model. The record is from RNAcentral.